This 253-nucleotide ribosomal RNA is filed under the name uncultured bacterium. Its description in RNAcentral is "partial 16S ribosomal RNA". It matches the Rfam family "Bacterial small subunit ribosomal RNA", at positions 524 to 776 of the family's 1533-position model. The record is from RNAcentral.
UACAGAGGGGGCAAGCGUUGUUCGGAAUUACUGGGCGUAAAGGGCGCGUAGGCGGCCUGCUAAGUCGAACGUGAAAUCCCCGGGCUCAACCCGGGAACUGCGUCCGAUACUGGCAGGCUUGAAUUCGGGAGAGGGAUGCGGAAUUCCAGGUGUAGCGGUGAAAUGCGUAGAUAUCUGGAGGAACACCGGUGGCGAAGGCGGCAUCCUGGACCAACACUGACACUUAGGAGCGAAAGCCAGGGGAGCAAACAGG